AUGUCAGAUGAUAUGGACACUUCUUCACCUUCUCAUACAGUGAAAAGGUUAUAUCAGAUGCUGUUGGACACACCCAUGAAAGCAAUCGAUCCAAAAGAUCAAACAAGGGGAGAGUCAACAUGCCCCUUGACUCAGGUGCUAGAGAGAUGGCAUCAAUAUUAGAGAGAUGGGAUCUCUGGGAAUCUUCAAAAGGAAAUGGGGGUUCUAGAAGCAAUUUGUAUAAGCUGUACAGGGUACCCUACCAACAA
This is a long non-coding RNA of Lactuca sativa (garden lettuce), 248 nucleotides long. RefSeq lists it as uncharacterized. NCBI's taxonomy places the organism in Eukaryota, Viridiplantae, Streptophyta, Magnoliopsida, Asterales, Asteraceae. The record is from RefSeq and is a predicted model, not a curated record.